AUCGGAAAGUUCCAUUUGAAGGUGGGAAUGACGAUUCCAGGACAUUCAUUGCCGAUGGGGUCCCAACUUUGACCUUGUGGAUUUUGUGGGUUUUCAAGGAACUCUUGAUUCGACGCAUGGCCGGCACAAGGUUGUACCAUGUCCCAAUAUCAGGGUUCGUGAGGAUUUCGUUCCCGAUAAGUAGAUAUCGGAUUUUAACCUCGGGGUAGAAAGGCACAACAUUGGU
Molecule: unclassified non-coding RNA, 226 nt
Filed under: Hevea brasiliensis (rubber tree)
Lineage: Eukaryota; Viridiplantae; Streptophyta; Magnoliopsida; Malpighiales; Euphorbiaceae
Source: RNAcentral